This 67-nucleotide transfer RNA is filed under the name Cryptocephalus schaefferi. Its description in RNAcentral is "tRNA-Ser". Lineage: Eukaryota; Metazoa; Arthropoda; Insecta; Coleoptera; Chrysomelidae. The record is from RNAcentral.
GAGAUACGUUCAGCAAACUAAAGCUUCUAACUUUAAGUUCAAGCGAUGAAAUUUCGUUUAUAUCUCU